RNAcentral lists this ribosomal RNA (2322 nucleotides) under Triticum aestivum (bread wheat). RNAcentral's name for it is "partial small subunit ribosomal RNA". The record is from RNAcentral. Lineage: Eukaryota; Viridiplantae; Streptophyta; Magnoliopsida; Poales; Poaceae.
AUGCGCCUCUCCAUCGGCUCCCCAUCCCCGUCGCCGCCGCCGGCGGUGGCCGCCGCUCUCCGCAGCACACCCCCGUCGCGCCGUACCGCCAGUCAUGUUAUGUUCAGGCAGAAGCUGAGUUUCAUGGAGGCAUUUCAGACUCAGCAUCUGAAAUAUGCUCCUCGUUUGAUCAAAUCAGUCGUAAAAGGUAUUAGAUCAAAUAUAACUGAUGGUGAUAAUGGAACGACUGAGCCAGCUAGAGAGUUGCUGGAGCGGCUAUUUGCGAGGACACAAAGUUUAGACACUGGUGCUUCUCAUGAUAGUGAACUGAGCGUGAGCAUUGAGGUCCUGAAGUCUGAAUUCGAGGGUGCCUUGUCUAUCCUCAGAAACAAAGAGAGGGAUCUUCGCAGCGCAGAGAAGAGGGUUUCCGAUGAUCGGAUAAGGUUGAGCAAGACAAAGCAGGACCUUGAUCAGAGAGAGGAAGCGAUCCGCAAAGCUUAUGUAAGGCAACAAGGAAUAGAGAAAGCACUGAAAAAGGCAAGUAGAGAUCUGGCGUUGCGAGUGAAGCAGAUCAGUGAUCUGAAGCUUCUGGUUGAGGGGCAAGACAGGACUAUUGCCAGGUCACAAGCUUUGCUUUCUCAGAAGGUAACUGAAGUGGAAAAUCUCAAACGAGAUAUGUUCAAGAAGAACGAGGAAGCAGACCUGAUGCGUUCAGAGAUCAGGUCCAAAGAAAAGCUGCUUCUUACAGCUAAUCAAGCUAUUGCGCAGCAAGAAGCAACAGUUAGGGAGCUGCAGAGUGAAAUUAAAAGAAAGACAAUGGAUAUCGCCAGAUCAAAUGAAUCGAGGAAAACUAAUGAAGAGAAACUGAAAGUUGCUGAACAGGAACUUGAGAAGCAGAGUUUAGGAUGGUUAGCAGCACAACAAGAGUUAAAGGAACUUGCACAACUGGCAUUCAAAGAUACAGAUGAUAUCAAGGGUAUUAUCACUGACUUCAAACGUGUGAGGUCUCUGCUAGAUGCUGUACGCUCUGAAUUGAUCUCUUCAAAAGAUGCUUUCGCUUCCUCUCGCAGACAAAUAGAAGAUCAAGCGGUUCAGUUGCAGGAACAAGUACAGGAACUCGAGGACCAAAGGGUAUUACUGAUGUCUUACACCCAUGAUUUGGAGGCUGCUCAACUGGAGAUUCAAGGGAAGACACAGGAGCUCAAUUAUGCACAGUCUCGUUGUCAUGAACUUGAAUCACAGUUACUUAAGGAAAUGGAGAAGGUCGAGUCUCUAGAAGCCGAAUUAACGAAAGAAAAACAGAGCUUAGAACAUAGAACUGAAGAAGUAGGCUUUCUUCAGAAGGAGCUUGUUCAGAAAGAAAAUGAGUGCACCAAAUCACAAGAACUUGUUAAAGUAAAAGAGUUUGAGCUGUUAGAAGCCAGACAGGAAGUCCAAGAUAUGAAGUUAAAGGUAGAGUCUAUUCAAUUGGCUGUUCAAGAAAAGGAUUCAGAGCUUUCUGAUACACAGAGCAGACUAACUGAAGUCAGCAGUGAAAUUGUUGAGCUUCAGCAGUUGCUAAAUAGCAAGAAGGAUCAACUGGUUCAGGCUAGAACUGAAUUACAUGAUAAAGAACAACAUAUAGAAACACUGGAGAGUGAGUUGGAUAGCAUACGGCUCAGAUGCUCGCAAGCUGAAUCCAUGGUUCAAAGGAUGGCUGAGCUCACUGGCGAUCUUGCUAGUUCCGUAAAAGCCGGAGAAAUGGACAUCUAUACAUUACUGGAUGAUGAAAUUUCAAGCACAAGUACAGCCCUCGAGUCCAAUUUACAUAAGCAUAAUCAACUGGAGGCUGACAUAGAGAUGUUAAGAGAAUGCUUGCGGCAUAAGGACAUGGAGUUGAGAGCUGCUCAUGAAGCACUUGAUGCCAAAGAUCAAGAGCUGAAGGCAGUACUUAAAAAAUGGGAUGUGAAGGAGAGGGAACUACGUGAGUUGGAAGAGUUACCGGAUCCCAGUGCCACAAAUGAACUUGCUGGUUUUUCCAGUGAGACAACAGAGGGCGGUAUUGUAGGAGAGAUGGAGCUGCCAGAGCUUCAAAUUGAUGCUGCGGAGGUCGAAGCACUUGCUGCUACGACUGCAUUGAGGAAGCUUGCGGAUAUGACUAAGGAUUUCUUCAAACACGUCAAAGCUGAUUCUGGUAUUAACUUGGUUGCAUCAGAGAGUCAAAAAAUCAUUAAAUGCGAUCCUAAAAUGGAAGUACACAAGAAGACGGAUGUGAUUCUUGAAGCUGAAAAAGAAAUAGUUAGGCUCUUCUCAUUGACAAAACAGAUUGUCACUGAUGACAUAAUAAACGAUGUUGAGGAAUGA